GACUUAGGAUUUGAGCAUCUUUCUGUUAUGCUGUUGCCCCACUCCUAUUGCAAUACUCCCCUUCUUAAGAAAGUUUUUCUAGACUAAUGUCUAGAUUAAACUUCUUUUCUUUGACAAUAAUGAUGCCAUGACUUGGACAAAAUGCCCAUUGCCUCUGGGUCCUGCUUUCUUCACCCAGUGCUGCCUUAUUGGACUCCUUGUGCCUCUCCUUGGCUGGGGAAAUCAGAAUACACAGUGAGCUUCAACUGAGAAUCUAGAAGAGAGUAGAUGGAAAAAUAUUUUUCCCUCCCCUCCAAAUGCAAGGAUAAUCUUACACGAGUCCAGGAGGAAGGCUCAUUCCACACUAAGUGUUCUGAAUCAAAAAGAUGAACAAAAUACAGUGCCAUUCUUCAAGGACUUCACAGUCUACAGGAAAGGGAUAUAGUUAAACAAAUAACUGCAGAAUUGGAAAUUGGAGCUGAUGUGCUUAGAAGUGUUUUGAACAAGGGGCAUGACUGUGACUCUCUCUGCUUUUGCAAGCUUCAGGAAAACCUUUACUCACAGGUGAGUUCCACCUGAGGUUAAUUUGAAG
This 571-nucleotide long non-coding RNA is filed under the name Homo sapiens (human). Its description in RNAcentral is "long intergenic non-protein coding RNA 861". The record is from RNAcentral. Lineage: Eukaryota; Metazoa; Chordata; Mammalia; Primates; Hominidae.